Long non-coding RNA from Lactuca sativa (garden lettuce), 1542 nucleotides. RefSeq lists it as uncharacterized. NCBI's taxonomy places the organism in Eukaryota, Viridiplantae, Streptophyta, Magnoliopsida, Asterales, Asteraceae. The record is from RefSeq and is a predicted model, not a curated record.
AUUAUGGCGGGAGGGAGGCGCCAACGCUUCCUCUCCUUCAUACCCAUGGCCUCCAUAAGUCCGUAUCGCCGGCUCCACGAAGCACUCAAUCGUGAUUUGAUUCUGGAACUAUCAAUCUGCCGGGGAAGACGAGGUUAUUCAUAUGUGAACAAAAAAUUCAUCAUGCGAGCAUAUCCAUUAUUUCCGUUACAAGAAUUGCAAUGACUGCUUAUCGGUGGUUUCUUUUUGGUACCAGCAUCCACUCUAUAAGGAAUACGACACUUCCUGCAACUAUUACGCUGAAUAUGUAGCAAGUUAUGAUGGGCUGACUUGCAGGUAUUAUAAUGACACUAUUUUCUAUAGAAGUCCAUUUAUAUGUUUUAAAUUAGUGGAUUAAGUUCAUAGUAUAACAACAUACUUUUUUAUUUGUCUCACUUUGGUCUCUAGCCAUUUUUUCAUUUGACUUGGUGCAAAAAGAAUGGCUUAAUGUGAAAAGUAUGGGAAAUGAGGCUUUCCCCAUUAAGUUCUACUUUUGCAGAUUUGCUUUUUUUUUUCCCUUCCAUUUCUCCAUGCUUUUCAUCAAGCACUUAUCUGGACCACAUUCCACACUUAAGUAAAAAUAUUUUUUUGGGUUACUUAAAAGUUUACCUCAAUUUUGCCCAGUGUUCAUUGAUUUGAUGCCUUUUGUCUGGUAGAUGUAGGUCAUCUGUAAAUCAUCUUACCUUUCCUAAAUGAACUGUAAAACUGUCUCUCUUCCUGCAAGUUGAAUAGUUAACUUAGGCUAGUUUUAUAUAUGAUGCCCAAACUACUGUGAAAAUAAAAAGACUUAAUCGUUUUUAUAUUUAAACAUACAUGAAUUUUGGGUCAGAUUUUAGUACUACUAAUAAGUAUUUAUCCAUCUAUUAAGCGUACAUGUACUAUAUAUUAGCAAAAAUGAAACCAAUAUUUUGAUGCUCAAGGAAAAAAGAUAACAAAUGAAUAGAAUAAUAUUCUGAAAAAACGACUCUCAACUUUGUUCAAUGUAUGAUAUACUCCCGAAAUAAUAAACUAGGAAAAAUGUAGAAAAAAAAAUGUAGUGAACCACUGCUAAUCUAUCGCCUUACGAUUAUAUAUCUGUCUGGCUAUAGCAAAGUAAAAGAAGGCACUCUUUUUAGCUGUGUACUUUUGUUCUCUCAACUCAUCUAAGCAAUUGCCUGGUAUUCUUGACUCAUGAUUCCUAACUGCAGAUUAAAUUCAGAAAAAAAAAAAAAAGUUAAAUUUAGUUGUCAAGAAUGUUUAACCUCAUUAGGUCCCAUUUGUUACACAGGACAUAACAUAACAAAUUUUACUGCAGUUGUCAUUUAACAUGCAUUAGACCGGGACUCUGAUUGAUGUCAGUAGGACAAAUAUUGAAGUUUUUUAUUCCAUCCAAAAAGGUGGGACGGAAUUUUUUUAUCUCUUGAAUGUGAGAAAGACAAGAAUACCCUCCUCAUUUUCAUCAGAGUAAAUAGUCCUAUAGAAGGUUUUUUCUGUCCUGUGUAACAACGCAGUUUUAAUGGACAAGACUUAUUUACUUGGAGUUCA